UUGCACACGUGUGGUGCGCGGCUGUCGUCCGCUCGUGUCGUGAGAUGUUGGGUUAACUCCCGCAACGAGCGCAACCCUCGUCCUUAUUUGCUAACAGUUUGGCUGACCACUCUAGGGAGACUGCCUACACAAGUAAGAAGAAGGUGAGGACGACCUCAAGUCAUCGUGGCCCUUACGGCCAGGGCUACACACGUGCUACAGUGGGGCAUACAGAGUGUUGCAAUACCGCGAGGUGGAGCCAAUCACUAAAAUGCCUCUCAUUUCGGAUUGUUCUCUGCAACUCGAGAGCAUGAAGCUGGAAUCACUAGUAAUCGUGGAUCAAAAUUGCCACGG
This 333-nucleotide ribosomal RNA is filed under the name uncultured bacterium. Its description in RNAcentral is "bacterial SSU rRNA". It matches the Rfam family "Bacterial small subunit ribosomal RNA", at positions 1028 to 1362 of the family's 1533-position model. The record is from RNAcentral.